AACAGUUGGAAACGACUGCUAAUACCCCAUAUGCCCUUAAGACAUAAGUCUGCAGGGGAAAUAUUUAUAGCUCUAGGAUCGGCCUGUACGGUAUCAGCUUGUUGGUGAGGUAAUGGCUCACCAAGGCAAUGACGCCUAACUGGUUUGAGAGGAUGAUCAGUCACACUGGAACUGAGACACGGUCCAGACUCCUACGGGAGGCAGCAGUGGGGAAUAUUGCACAAUGGGGGAAACCCUGAUGCAGCAACGCCGCGUGGAGGAUGACACAUUUCGGUGCGUAAACUCCUUUUAUAUAGGAAGAUAAUGACGGUACUAUAUGAAUAAGCGCCGGCUAACUCCGUGCCAGCAGCCGCGGUAAUACGGAGGGCGCAAGCGUUACUCGGAAUCACUGGGCGUAAAGAGCGUGUAGGCGGAUAAAUAAGUUUGAAGUGAAAUCCUGUGGCUCAACCAUAGAACUGCUUUGAAAACUGUUUAUCUAGAAUAUGGGAGAGGUAGAUGGAAUUUCUGGUGUAGGGGUAAAAUCCGUAGAGAUCAGAAGGAAUACCAAUUGCGAAGGCGAUCUACUGGAACAUUAUUGACGCUGAGACGCGAAAGCGUGGGGAGCAAACAGGAUUAGAUACCCUGGUAGUCCACGCCCUAAACGAUGUACACUAGUUGUUGUGAGGCUAGACCUUGCAGUAAUGCAGUUAACACAUUAAG
Molecule: ribosomal RNA, 699 nt
Filed under: Raricirrus beryli associated bacterium
Lineage: Bacteria
Description: bacterial SSU rRNA
Rfam family: Bacterial small subunit ribosomal RNA
Source: RNAcentral